GGCGCCUUGGCCGAGCAGUUAGGCAGGGGUCUGCAAAACCUCUUAGAUGGGUGCAACUCCCAUAGGUGCCUCCA
Molecule: transfer RNA, 74 nt
Filed under: bacterium
Lineage: Bacteria
Description: tRNA-Cys
Rfam family: tRNA
About the family: Transfer RNA (tRNA) molecules are approximately 80 nucleotides in length. Their secondary structure includes four short double-helical elements and three loops (D, anti-codon, and T loops).
Source: RNAcentral